AUCAGCUAGUUGGUGAGGUAACGGCUCACCAAGGCUAAGACGGGUAGCUGGUCUGAGAGGACGACCAGCCACACUGGAACUGGGACACGGUCCAGACACCUACGGGUGGCAGCAGUCGAGAAUUUUUCACAAUGGGCGCAAGCCUGAUGGAGCGACGCCGCGUGGGGGAUGAAGGGUUUCGAUCCAUAAACCCCUGUCAUUUGCGAACAAACCUUAUUCAAUAACACUGAAUGAGCUGAUUGUAGUGAAAGAGGAAGGGACGGCUAACUCUGUGCCAGCAGCCGCGGUAAUACAGAGGUCCCAAGCGUUGUUCGGAUUCACUGGGCGUAAAGGGUGCGUAGGUGGCCGUGGAAGUUCGAUGUGAAAGCUCGGAGCUCAACUCCGAAAUGGCAUUGAAUACUCUACGGCUGGAGGGUCGGAGGGGAGACUGGAAUUCUCGGUGUAGCAGUGAAAUGCGUAGAUAUCGAGAGGAACACCAGUGGCGAAGGCGAGUCUCUGGACGACACCUGACACUGAGGCACGAAAGCUAGGGGAGCAAACAGGAUUAGAUACCCUGGUAGUCCUAGCUGU
Molecule: ribosomal RNA, 570 nt
Filed under: uncultured bacterium
Lineage: Bacteria
Description: bacterial SSU rRNA
Rfam family: Bacterial small subunit ribosomal RNA
Source: RNAcentral